Molecule: ribosomal RNA, 500 nt
Filed under: uncultured bacterium
Lineage: Bacteria
Description: partial 16S ribosomal RNA
Rfam family: Bacterial small subunit ribosomal RNA
Source: RNAcentral
AUUGAACGCUGGCGGCAUGCCUUACACAUGCAAGUCGAACGGCAGCACGGGAGCAAUCCUGGUGGCGAGUGGCGAACGGGUGAGUAAUAUAUCGGAACGUGCCCAGUCGUGGGGGAUAACGCAGCGAAAGCUGUGCUAAUACCGCAUACGAUCUAAGGAUGAAAGCGGGGGAUCGCAAGGCCUCGCGCGAUUGGAGCGGCCGAUAUCAGAUUAGCUAGUUGGUGGGGUAAAGGCCCACCAAGGCGACGAUCUGUAGCUGGUCUGAGAGGACGACCAGCCACACUGGAACUGAGACACGGUCCAGACUCCUACGGGAGGCAGCAGUGGGGAAUUUUGGACAAUGGGCGCAAGCCUGAUCCAGCAAUGCCGCGUGCAGGAUGAAGGCCUUCGGGUUGUAAACUGCUUUUGUACGGAACGAAACGGCCCUUUCUAAUACAGGGGGCUAAUGACGGUACCGUAAGAAUAAGCACCGGCUAACUACGUGCCAGCAGCCGCUGUAA